ACGCAGCUUAGGCUUUUUUUUCUUCCCCAGCGACGCGCGAGCGGAAGAUGUCUAGGCGCGCGCUGUUGCCAUGGUAAUUCGUACCCGCCUCUACGCUUGUGAGCUCGUUUAUGGCCUCUUUCUCCAGGGAAACUGAGGCCUGCAGACGUUAAAUAAUAAGAAGUAAAAAGCCGGGUAUGUUGAACUUCAGAGCAUAUGAACUGCCUCCCCACUGUUCGCUGGAUUGUUCUUAGAGUGGAAUAUGACCGUUCAUGAGACAUAUCUAGAAGGAAGUUGUGAUGGCCAGUGUCGAACAGGACAUAAUUGGAAGAAUUGGUUAUACAACUGAGACCUUGGCUGGAAUAUCAUAUUUGAGAAUGAUGUUCAUUUUCUGUAUAUGACCAGGCACUUUUAAGGAAUUAAAAUGUUUAUGGAGCAAUGCUUACAAAGCCCAUGUGGGAAAACUAGCUUGGUACCCAGCCUAUAGUGUUCUCUGCCUUACAGCAUGCCCCUUUUAGGAUCCUGAAGUCUUUAAAGUCUCCAAGACUCUAAAAUCAUUGACAUUUGCCGCCACCUCUCAACAGAUGUUUUUAUCGAGUUUACAGGAAACAGUGCCAACAAGAAUCCCUGAGAGACUACUUCUUAGUCCUUGCUUCAUCCCACUCAAGAGGCUUAUGAUCAGCUUUACGUUGUUCAGGAUGAAAUAUAUUCAUGUGUCUUGAACAAUUGUCAUUGUCUUGGCAGUGUUGAACUCUAUUUGAGCCCUGUGUUUCUGGAAACCAGGAACAGUAAGGACCCUUCCUUUCCACUCUUUUGUGUUCUAAGAAAUGGCUAACCAUAAAAGACUACUCUACUGUCACAUACUCAUUGUUGUUUAUUGACAAGAGUCACUUACCACUUCAGUAACACAUCUCGACUGCCCUGCUGGGCCUUUCAGGUGUAAAGAUCUGGAAGAAUUUGUUCAGCGCUUUCUGGAGUUGCACAAGGUAAUAAGCAGGGAUUGCACAAUUUGGUGUCAGAUUUCUAGCAGCAACUUUUCUCAAUUGUUUGGGAUUCUUCCUUCUUUCAAGGUACAGGUUAGGACUCUCUUCAUAAAAAAUGUCCACUUUUAUCUUCCCAAAGCAUAGCUCUUGUAACGGAAGUGUUGGUUGCCUAACCAGCACUCUUUUUUUUUUUUUUUUAUCCUCCUAAUGCCAGUGGAUCUGAAUACCAUUUAAGGAAGUUAGAGAUCCAAUUACCCAAAGGUGAGAGUCAUCAUAGACACCACGCUAUUGGAAGAACACAUGGAUAUUUUUCAGGCUAAAAAUGACCUUAUUUUUAAGAGGUUUCCAUCUCUUUAUUUAAUUUCAUUUGAACGAGACAGCAUUUAAGUGAUUACCAUCUACUGAAUAAUUUGUGCAAUAGAGAUUAAAUGUUAAUCCUUGUAUUGUUUUGAAGUGGGAUAAUUCUUGUGUGUGUAUUUUAUAAAUUAUAAAGUGGUAUGACAUUUGUAAGGUGUUGUGAUGUAAAAUUCUAAUUAUUGAGCAUUCUCAUAGGCUACACAUUGCGCUGAGGGUUUAUAUAGUUUAUAACAUUAAACUCUGAUUGCCAAAUCUAGUUGUUCAAUGUAGAUCUCCUGGGGAUCUACAUACAUGCAAAUUCAUGAGCUCCCUAUUUACAGAUUAUGAGUCAGAAGGUGUGGCAUCAGAUCUAGAUAUUUUCAUUAUCCUAGUCUCUUAAGGGGAUUCCAAUAUACCAUUAGGUUUUAGAACCACUGGUUUGUCUUUAGAAUAACCCUGUAAGGUAAUUCCUAAUUCCAUUUUCUUCUUUCACCUAAGGGCCCUAAAUGGGCUAUAAAAAAUUAAGUUUUUUCCCUCCUAUGAAAAUUUCUAUCAUUGGUGUGUCAGAAUAACAAAUUUUUACCAGGAAAUGGAUUGGAAUUCUUUGUCCUCAAAGAGUUUAUAGGCUGGUGAAAUACCAAUGUAAGGAAAUAAUUAUAUUAAAGUGUGAUAAAGGCUAUAAAGGGUCACGUUUCAGACCAAACAGUAGUAAAAGAAAAAAAAGAGGGGGGGGGAAUCAUCUGGAGAGAGUAAAGGUAAGAGAAAGAUUUACAGAAUGGUGAAAGAGGCCUGAGCACAUACAGAGCAAGGAUAUCUGAACCAGCAUAUUAAAGGAAUAGCAGUAGUUUAAUUUGGCUGUGGGGUAAGGCAUUUAGUGGAAAGCAUGGACAUUGAAAUCUGACAAACACAGGUUCAGAUUCUAGCUCUGCCACUUACUAAAUAAGUGACAUUGGAUACAUUUGCUUAUAGUGCUGUGAUCUGAAUGUUUGUGUCCCCCACCCACCCCAAAAUCAUAUGUUGAAAUCCUAACCACCAAAGGUGAUGGUUAUUAGUAGGUGAGGUGGGGAUGAUUAGGUCAUGAGGUGGAGUAUUUAUGAAUGAGAUUCUUUAAAAAAUGAUCUUGCAGUUCCCUGGCCCCUUCCACCAUGCGAGGAUACAAUAAGAAGUCUGUUUUCUGCAAGAGAGCCCUCACCUGACCAAGUUGUCACCCUGAUCUUGAAUUUGCAUCCUCCAGAACUAUGAGAAAUAAAUUCCUACUGUUUAUUAGCCACUCAGUAUAUGGUAUUUUGUUAUAGCAACCCAAAUGACUAAGACUCUUCCUUGAACCUCUGCUUUCUCAGCUAGGAUAACAGAACUUCAUUACGGUUCAGAGUAUCUGUCAAGGUUAAUGGAACAUUAUAAAUUAACAUAUUUUAACUUUAAUAUUCUACUGUUACUAUGACUACUGCUAUAAGUCCUCUUUAUGGAAAGCAUUUGGUCUUUAUUACCAUAGCUGCUCUUGGACUGCCACUAAAAUAGGGAAAGGGUGGGGUGGGAACAAAUUUGCCUUUUACCAAGACUGCUUUGUCAGUGGGAGCUGGAUGAAUAUGAGGACAUGGAGGCAAAGAGAUUACCUCUUGGACUAUUUCUCAUCUAGGUGAGGCAUGGUAAGGAUAUUAGUAAUGGCAAUGGGGAUGGGGGGAAAAGAUUCAGAGGUAUUUAUUUAUCAUUUAUCAUGAUAUUAUGAUAUACACAGGUAUGUUGAAAACAAAACCAAGCAUGACAUAAAAUUAACAAAGGCUAUUUUAUUCAUAACUUUGCAGCAAGGGAACCCUCUGCUACCACUUUAAUUUCAGUGGGCUUUCAAUGAAUGGUGUCAGAAAGGCCUGAGUUUAUCAUGUAAAAUGAGAAUUCUGAGACAGCAUCUGAUUGGCAUGGGAAAAAUUUCAAGAUAGCCACCAUUUUCAUCAUGUGCAGAUGUACAUGUGACUUACAUAUUGCUGCAGAGUUAGUUCUCAAAAUCACACGCAAGACCAAUAUGAAUCUUAAAUAAUUCAUUGGCUCUGUUAUGGACUUUUAUGUAAAGCUCCAAGGACAAAAAUAUUUUCAGGUUCAGGUUAGUAGCAUGCAUGAUGCAUACAUAAACUUCUGGACUAAUAUGUUAUAAAAAGGAAUGGAAAAAAACUAGAGUAAUUUCAAAAUAAGCUUUGAAAAAAAAUUUGAACCUCCUUAAUCUUACAUAUACUUUAAAUGCUUUCAUGUACUUUGUCUAAGUAAAGCAAAUUUUUCCAUAAAAGAAAUCUUGGCUAGAAAAUAUGCCUGGUAAAUCAGUCUUCUAAAAGCUGCUGGAGAUAGGGGGAAAAAAUUAGUAAUGUAACUGCCUAUCUAAUUCUGGGCACUAUAUUAGCUUUUUUUUUUCUUUUUUUGGCAAAAAAAUUUCUGUUUUCACUAAUCCUAUCUCACCUCAUUUCAAGAGGAUUCCAUUAGUUGGAUAAGCAAGAAAAUGUUCUUUGCCUCCUUUAUGUAACUUAGUGUCUCCACGUAAAUAAAAUGCCUUAAGGAAGAAGAAAUUGCCGAGAAGGUAGGAAGAAAGACAAGAACAGGGCUAAAAGGACUUGGUUUUAACAGGCAUAUACUUGAGAACCUUUAGUCUAAGAACUUCUGGAGGGUGGGGUGGGGUCAUCCUGGGAUUAAUGAUGAAGGGAUCCUGUCACCUUUGAGUUUGAGUGUUUUCUUACCUGUGGUUCUGCAACAAAGAAGCUAUUGUGCUUUUAAAAAGAAGCUUUAACAAUGUCAGGGAAGCCAGGCAAAGGGGCCAGCAGGGUGGUUGCUUACUGAAAAUUUCAGUAGCAUUUUCAAGAUAAUUGGCUUAAUUACAUGCCAAACUAAAUUGUAAUUUUAAGGGCACUACAAAUAACAAAGAUUUAUUCUAAAGCUCUGUAAGUAGGCUUUUGUUCUUUAUUUCCUGUAAAUAGAUCUCUGGUGGAAUAACCAGGACCUGAAAUGUUUGGGUCAAGACUGUGAGACAGAGGCACUCUGCUUGGGGAUAGGUAGAGCUAUUUGGAUCAAGGAAUGUAUAUAGUCACUCUGAGUGUGAUAGGUAGAACUAAAUAAAAUAAAUUCUAAUAUUGUUAAUUUGUGUUUUAUAUAGUGUUCCAGCUAAAGGCAGGUUAGUGAGUAGUUACAAGCAGGACUUCUCUUUGGAGCCAGACUGCUGGGAUUUAUUGCUUAACUUUCCACUAUGUGUGUGAUCAGUAGAACAAGUAAAAACUACCUAUAAUCCCAGGCCUGAAGAAAAUACAAAAUAUUUACAUUAAGGGAUGAAAGUAAACCUGUACUCCGUUAACCAUUCUACAUUUGAUUUGUAUCCAUUGUCAACUUUUUCCUAAAGUCAGACACAUCAGUAUAUAAUGAAUACAUGCAUUAUGCUGAUAUUACUGUUUUGCAACUUAAAAAAAAAAUAGUGAUCUAACAUGAACCAUUUUUUAGGUUAGUACAUAUAAGUUUACCUCAUGAAAAAAGAUGACUAUACUAUUUCUUUGUCUUAGUAACUAUUGGUCCAUUUAAUGAGCAUUUAGGUUUCCAUUAUUUCACUACUGUUAUGGUAGUGAAGUGAAGAUCCUUAGACAUAACAUAUUAAUGUUAUUAUUUAAUUAGGCUAGAUUUCAAACUGAGAUGAUGAAUCCAAGAAUAUGCACACUUUUAAUUUCAUUUUUUAUUGAGAUAUAAUUAACAUAUUAGUUUCAGAUGUAAAACAUAAUGAUUCAGUAUUUGUAUAUAUUGCAAAAUGAUCACAGUAAGUGUAGUUAACAUUCAUCACCAUAUAUAGUUACAACAUUUUUUUCUUGGAGAAGUUUUAAGAUUUAUUCUUAGCAGCUUUCAAAAAUACAAUAUAGUAUUACUAACUAUAGUUACUAUGCUGUAUAUAACAUCUCUGGGAUUUAUUUAUAAAUACGUGUCUUCCUUUUAACCAACUUCAUCCAUUUUAAUCCCUUCCCAACCCCUGCUUCUGGCAACCACCAAUCUGUUUGCAUUUAUCAAUUUGGGUUUAUUUUUUAAAAAAUUUUAAAACUUUAUUUAUUUUGAGAGACAGAGAGAGCAUGAGCAGGGGAGGGGUAAAGUGAGGGAGA
Long non-coding RNA from Felis catus (domestic cat), 5407 nucleotides. RefSeq lists it as uncharacterized. The record is from RefSeq and is a predicted model, not a curated record. The transcript is spliced from 7 exons. Lineage: Eukaryota; Metazoa; Chordata; Mammalia; Carnivora; Felidae.